This 507-nucleotide ribosomal RNA is filed under the name uncultured euryarchaeote. RNAcentral's name for it is "partial 16S ribosomal RNA". The record is from RNAcentral. Lineage: Archaea; Methanobacteriati; Methanobacteriota.
CAGGCGGCUHGUUUAACGGCUUCCCUACGGCACAGCACCCACUCGUAGUGGGUGCCACACCUAACKAGCAUCGUUUACAGCUAGGACUACCCGGGUAUCUAAUCCGGUUUGAGACCCUAGCUUUCGUCCCUCACUGUCGAAKCCGUCUUCUCARAGUGCUUUCGCCAUCGGURGUCCGUCCGGGAUUACRGGAUUUCACUCCUACCCCGGAMGUACUCUCUGAGCCUUCCGGUUCCAAGCCAAVCAGUUUCYACCGGACGCCCACCCGUUGGGCRGGUGGAUUUCCCGAURGACUUGGUUGGCCAGCUACGGACGCUUUAGGCCCAAUAAUAUGGGACAUCACUCGAGCUGCCGGUAUUACCGCGGCGGCUGGCACCGGUCUUGCCCAGCUCUUAUUCGUUGACCACCUUACAGUCAACAAAAGCGAGGGCUAAUAUGCCCUCGCACUUGGGAUUCCCCUAUCGCACUUCCGUGCARWGUAAAGGUUUCGCGCCUGCUGCACCCCGU